UACGUAGGUGACAAGCGUUGUCCGGAUUUACUGGGCGUAAAGGGCGCGUAGGCGGCUUGUCAAGUCACUUGUGAAAUCUCUGGGCUUAACCCAGAACGGCCAAGUGAAACUGACAUGCUAGAGUGCAGAAGGGGCAAUCGGAAUUCUUGGUGUAGCGGUGAAAUGCGUAGAUAUCAAGAGGAACACCUGAGGUGAAGACGGGUUGCUGGGCUGACACUGACGCUGAGGCGCGAAAGCCAGGGGAGCAAACGGG
This 253-nucleotide ribosomal RNA is filed under the name uncultured bacterium. RNAcentral's name for it is "partial 16S ribosomal RNA". It matches the Rfam family "Bacterial small subunit ribosomal RNA", at positions 524 to 776 of the family's 1533-position model. The record is from RNAcentral.